GAAAAAAACAGAUGCAUCAAGCUCCGGUUGUAACGCUGUGUUAAUUGUUUUGCAGGGAGUGAAGGGCCAGAUCCUGCACGGCUUAGACCAUGUGACCUGCUUCCUGGAUGACAUCCUGAUCACAGCUGGCUCCUGGGAGGACCAUCGAAAAAAUCUAGCCUUACUGCCCCACCCGAUCCCUAAGAUCAGCCGAUCAGCUGCUACUGACGGUCCCUGACACAAGGCUGAAGCUUAGAGGUGACAGAGCUUUCGCCGCUGCUGCUCCCAAACUCUGGAACGACCUACCUCUGAGUGUUAGACAGGCCUCCUCUCUUCCUGUUUUUAAAUCUCUCUUAAAAACAUACUUUUAUUCCAUGGCUUUUAACACUUAGUGAUAUCCAUCCUGCUAUGGCGCCCCAUAAUACACCUGCUGUGAACCUGUUUUUAUGUUUUUAUGUUCUAUUUAUUUUAUUUAUUUAUUUUUUA
Molecule: long non-coding RNA, 465 nt
Organism: Nerophis lumbriciformis (worm pipefish)
Lineage: Eukaryota; Metazoa; Chordata; Actinopteri; Syngnathiformes; Syngnathidae
Source: RefSeq, a predicted model, not a curated record